This 42029-nucleotide long non-coding RNA is filed under the name Eucalyptus grandis. Its description in RNAcentral is "long non-coding RNA (EGRA_LNC002494)". The record is from RNAcentral. Lineage: Eukaryota; Viridiplantae; Streptophyta; Magnoliopsida; Myrtales; Myrtaceae.
AGGAACUCGAAAGAUGGAGACAACCGAAGUUGAUGGAAGAAUUGUUGAAGGAAAGGGUUAAAUUAAUUAACAUGGACAAUGAGAGUUAUUAUACAAUUGCAAUAAAUCAAAAGUGAGAUGAAGAAACAACAAAAGACCCAGCUGCUUUUGAGCUCAUACAACCGAAGAAGAUGAGAGAGAGAAUCCAAAGCUAAGCAAUUAUAUCGAGCAGAAACGAACAAAGGAGAUCAACUCCUUCCUCUUCUUCUUCUUCUUCUUCUCCCUUCCAUGUGCCUCUCCUUUCAAGUGGCUUUCUCUGAAUUCUUCUUCUUCUUCUUCUUCUUCUUCUUCUUCUUCUUCUUCUUCUUCUUCUUCUUCUUCUUCUUCUUCUUCUUCUUCUUCUUCUUCUUCUUCUCUCUCUCUCACCUCUUCAAGAAUGAAAUGCUGCUUUCCUCUUCACUAAAAGCUUUAUUCUCCUCCUUUCUCGAUGCCAAUUUUUCCUUCCACUUUGCCUCCCAAGUUGCUGCAUCUUAUUCACCAAAUGAAUUAAACGAAUUGGAGAGAGGGGGGCGGUCGCGAUGGAAACUCUAAUGGUGCCUUCGAAGAACUCCGCCGGUGAAAAAUUCCUCCUCGACUUUCUACCAAAGAAGACAGAUGAUGAAGAAGGAUGGGGUGUUUUGGAGGGAAGAAUAAGAAAGGAUGGAAAUUGAGAAGGGGAAAAUGAUUAAUAAAAAAAAAAAGGAACAAUAAUGUUAAAUUUAUUAGGCUUUGAGCUUAAAAAUAAUUUCAAAAGGUAUGUUUAAAAGAGCUUUUUGAGCAGAUACAUGUGUGUAUAUGGUACAAUCUUGCAGGGUGGUGGAUUCCGCUCCGCCACUGCCACUGCCGCCACCACCACCAACUGCUGUCGCACCGGUGGAGGCCUAUUGAACCAUGGCUAAAAACGACGGCGCCCCAUUCCCUCCGCCAUUUGGGGGCGCUGAUGCGUUCGGCCUCUGGAAUUCGAUUUUAUAGGCCAUUUUCCUCUCCUCCUCCAAUUCUUCAUCCUCCUCGUUUUCUUCAUCAUCCUCUUCCAAUUCAUUUUCCUCCUGAUCUUCUAUAUUAUCACUGUCGCCUUCCUCCAUCUUUUUAUCGUUGUAAUUACCGCUAUUUACCCUUAAAUGCUGUUGAUCCGAGUCCAAGUGUUGAUUUUGAUGCUGUCCUUGCCCUAUGAGCUCUUUCACGGUGUCUUCUGGCUUCAAAUCCCAAAAAAAUAAUCAGCCCUCAAACUGAACAUGGAUUGAAUCAACCACAGACGUAAAUUUUUUUAACCAAAUUAUCCACAAUUCGAUCAUAAAUGAUGGAAUUAGACAUGGACAUUUCUCACUUUUUUUACAAGAAAAUGUUACCUUCUUAAGCGAUCCUCCAUUUCCUUCCUCGACCGUCCUCUCUUGUGCCCCUGAAUUGUCCCCUCCAUCUUUACGUUCGGGCUCACCCGCCUGUGCCGGUGCCGCCGCCGGCGGCGGUGGCGGCGGCGGCGGCUGAUCCUGAGCAAUUACCGGGCGAGCUUCCAAGUUCGCCGUACUCGGAGACGGCUCGGCCCUAAACCCCAUGGACCCGGAGGUGGCAGCUGUGCCGCUGGUGGCGCCGCCACCACCACCACCAAGUUCCUUUUUCCUAUAAAGGGCAUCGAGCUCGUGGAAGUACGGGCAGGUCUUGGCAUCCUCGGGCCGCUUCUUGUUGCUUUCCUUCACUUUCUUGAAGUAUUUGUUGAUGUUCUCCCAUUUCUCCUUGCACCUCUUGGCGCUCCUCUUGUACCCCAUCCUCGCCAUGCCGGCAGAGAUUUCCUCCCAGAGCGGCCCCUUAGGGCCAGCCUCUUGAUACCUCGACUCAAGCCCACUUCGCAGCUUUAUCAGCGCAAUCACUUCCACUUUCGGCCACCUCGAAGAGGAUGACGGCUCCCCUCCACUUCCGCCACUAAGGAUGAGUUCUUGAGACCGUGGCGGCACUUGCUGCUCCGGGACGGCCAUGAUUAUUCCAGUCGAAGCGGGCAGCGGGUGCGUGACAACCUCGAUGUUCUGUCGCUGCUGCUGCGGUUGCUCUUGAUACGUUGGAGGUGGUGGCAUCGGCGGUUGUGGAUGAGGAGCAGCAUGGGUUGGUCGAACCUGUGUUUUGGGCAGCGGGGUCUGAGAGAGAGGCGGAACACUAGUCGUCACAGUUGCCAGCAUGGUAGCCGGCAUGGUCGGCAGAUGGAUCGUCUGGCCUGUGAUCUUCUGCAAGAAUGAGACAAUGGCUGCAUCCCUUGAGGCGGAGGCGGCGCGCUCCUGAGCCGCGAUCUCGUUCUCCCGGGCCAGCCUGUUCAUCUCCUGCCGCCGCCACGCCUCCUCUCUAAUCAACCUAUCCUGUUCUCUCUUCUCUAUGGCCUCAAAGAACCUCUUCUGCAUCUCCUCCUGCUUCUGCAUCACCUGCCUCAUCAGUCCCUCAAAGAGCUCCAUCAUCUUACGGCGGCUUCCGCCGCCGCUGCCACUCGUCUCUCCUGGCCCCCUCUUCCGCUUGCGGCUACUGCCCGUGGUGGAUGGCUCACCUUCCUCUUCAUCCUCCUCGUCAUCAUCGUCCUCCUCCGAUCUCCCAGACGAGGAGGAACUGUUUGACGAGAAGAUCAUUCCCAUCGGGCUAGCUGACAUCGCCGCUGUGGCUGCCGACCUGGUAGCCAGACCGGGUGCUGUUGUGGGUGCAAAUAUGUGGUGGGUAUGGGGCGGCGGAUGCGCCAAGACAGGAGGUUGGCCGCGGACAGUGGAGAUUGGGACGGGGUUGGCGAACGAUAUCCCGAUCGAAACUGGGGGUACCGAGAGACCGCCCAGGGCUGCAGUGCCAGAAGCAGCACCACCACCACUUGAAGCUGCUGAUAUUCCGACGGUGGCCCCGGCGGCGGUGUUGUGGAGGGCUUCGAGCUCGGAGAAGAACUUGUAGGUCUUGCCGUCUUGACGACCAGCACGGCCUUCCUUGGUCCUCUUAUAGUACUUGUGGACGUUCUCGAACUUCUCCUUGCAUUUCUUGGCACUUCUUCUGUAUCCGAGUUCACCUAGCUUUCUGCAACCACAGUCCCAUAAACAAACAUUAAAAAAAUAAGUUGCUUAGUGAAUCUCUCUCUCUCUCUCCCUCUCUCUCAACGGAGAUUGAUGUCAUGCAUGAGAUCAAAAUCCCAGAUCAAGGCUUGUAAUCUCCGUCUUGUCAAGUAGCAGACAACUAGGAGAUCAUACGAACCCAAAAAGCGAAAAAAAAAAAAGGAGAUAAGAAAAGCCGAGAGCGAGAGGGAGAGAAAGAGAUAUGAGAUGAGACACGUCCAAAUGCAAAAUAGUGACCCAACUUGAUGACAACUUAAGCCCACUGCUGAAACCAUUAACAAAAAAAACUUGAGUGUCGCUAUUAUUAUUGAAUAAUUGGAAAGUGCAGUCCUAAACAAAGAACCUAGAGAGGGGGAAAAAGUUGUGAAGAGAAGGGAAAAAAAAUGUUGAAUUUUCGGGGGCUGAGAAUUGUUCUCGGGAUUUUCAGUAUUUUUCGAAGUAAGGGGAGGGAGGGAGGGAGAAGGAGGGGGUACAGAUCAAGAUGCUUUUCGCAUCCACAUGUAAAAUAAAAAUUCUCGAAAAAGAGGAGAGAGAGUGAGGAGGCGAGAGGAUUGGUCCAGAGCUCAUGCACUUGAUUUGGCCUAUUUCUAAAUUUGGAGAAAGCUUAACCCACCCAAAACAAAUAAAAAUCUCUCGAAUUCGAGAGAAGGGAAAACAUGAGAAGAUGCCCAGAUGCCUGCUCAACAGCUCGUGAGUCGUGUUGGAAAGAGAGAGAGAGAGAGAGAGAAAGAAGAAGAAGAAGAAGAAGAAGAAGAAGAAGAAGAAGAAGAAGAAGAAGGAGAAGGAGAAGAAGAGAGAACCCAUCUGGGUACAAGGACAGGUUGAAUUGCUUGAAAGUGAGAUAAUCAUCUGAGGAAGAUUGAAGGAGUUGGGUUCCGUUUAAAGAUCGAAAUGAGAAAAAUGAGAAAAACACGUUUUGAUAAUGAUGUUAUCAUGAUGAUGAGAGCAAUGGGGGGGGUUCACGGGGNNNNNNNNNNNNNNNNNNNNNNNNNNNNNNNNNNNNNNNNNNNNNNNNNNNNNNNNNNNNNNNNNNNNNNNNNNNNNNNNNNNNNNNNNNNNNNNNNNNNNNNNNNNNNNNNNNNNNNNNNNNNNNNNNNNNNNNNNNNNNNNNNNNNNNNNNNNNNNNNNNNNNNNNNNNNNNNNNNNNNNNNNNNNNNNNNNNNNNNNNNNNNNNNNNNNNNNNNNNNNNNNNNNNNNNNNNNNNNNNNNNNNNNNNNNNNNNNNNNNNNNNNNNNNNNNNNNNNNNNNNNNNNNNNNNNNNNNNNNNNNNNNNNNNNNNNNNNNNNNNNNNNNNNNNNNNNNNNNNNNNNNNNNNNNNNNNNNNNNNNNUUAGAUACCGUCGACUCUAGAGGAUCCCGCAGAGAGAGAGAGAGAGAGAGAGAGAGAGAGAGAGAGAGAAUUCCUACGAGUUAGUGCAAGAAGAGGGAGGGAGAGGAGGGAGGGGGGGUUCAGAUUUUGGUUUUUGUGUUCUUUUCAGUUCGGAAAAGAAAGAGAGAGAGAGUUGAGAGGGAGGGAAGGGGAGAGAGGGGGUUGCAGUAAAGAAGAGAGAGAGAGAGAGAGAGGAAGGGAGCAUAAUCAUCAACUCUGCACUGUAGCACACACAACAAGCAUAAAAAAAUGAAAAAUUUGAGGGAAAAAAAAUGGACAGAGUAAAAAGAAAGAGAUGGGUUGUAGAGAGAGAAAGUGAUGGAGAGAGAGAGAGAUAGGGACUACGAUUAUGAGGAUGAUGAUGAUUGAGAGAGAGAGAGAGAGAGACAGAGAGAUGGGUGUGAAUGAGUGAAUGAAUGAAUGAAUGAAUGAAUGGAAAUGUGAUAAAACAAAGGAGAUGCUGUGUUGUCAGCGACUUCACUUUGCUGCUAAUAAUUGUUAGAACCCCCCAUUUCACCAGCCCUUAAAAAAAUCCACCCCCUUUUUCCCCCCCUUUUUUUAUUAUUUUUAUUCCUUUAAUCCCCCCCCCCCCUCAAAAAAUAAAUUAAAAAUAACAAUAGUAAUAGCAAUAAAAGAAAAAAAAAUCAAUGAGAUCGGCAAACCCCAAUUUCACCAUUUCAAGUACGCCGCCUAAAAGGACAUUCAUGGGCUCCUUCUGCUCCCCCCGUGGCAAAUUCCAUUCAACUCUGCUUUGACAAAAUAUUGAAUUUCAAGAUUGGAAAAUUUAUCAUCGUUGUCAUCCCCCAUCCCCAGCCCCCUGUUUUUCUUUUAAGGUGCGAGGUAGCUUAAUCUUUUUUCUCAAUUUUCGAGAAUAUUUUUUGCACGGGACCCGGAUGAUUCUCCCUGAUCGGGGACGGACGGAAACACAUCCUAUUCUAGAUACCGUCUGAUUUUUCCUAUUCAAUUGAGUUUGAAUGUGCGCGUGUCCCUUAUUUGUAAUCCCAUCCUUUAUGGGCCAAUUAUCAAUGGAGGAAAAUUCAUAGUCCUGCCUAUUAUUAUUAUUGACAUGACGUGUCCCUUGAUGUAUAAUAUGUAUAUAAAAUAUUUAUGAAUAAUUCUGAAGAGAGAGAGAGAGAGGGUUUGGCGUGCUUUUCACAGCUGUAAACGUAUGCGUAGAAGUCGUAGCGAAUGGCCAUGACAAGCGUAUUGUACUUUAUCCUUUUCUUUAUUUUUUUCUUAAUCCUCAAUAGAAUACAUAAAAAGGAAAAUAAAGAGAAAAAGAAAAAGGAAAGAAAAAGGAAAGGAAAGGAAAGGAAAGAAAUGGAAAUGGAAGCAGUGCCACCCAUGAUGGCUGUGACCCAUUACUGUUUCAAGAGGCUCGAGCAAUUAUUUUAUCUAUACAAUAUAUAUCAUAAAUAUAUAUAUAUAUAUAUAUAUAUAUCAAAUAUAAUAAGAAACCUAACAGACGCUCCAAUCUGGGGUGACGUGGCCUUCCAUUAUUGGGCUUUGCUUUAACUUUUUCAAAUCUGACACCACCCAAGUGUUUUGCCCCGCACAGAACCGCAGCAGAUUCUGUUUAUCCCCCUUUCUUUCUUUCUUUAUCUCCAGGAACCCCACCAAAAAUCAAUAAAAUAUAAUUAUUAUUAUCAUAUGUAUGUAUGUAUUUUUUUUAACCUUAGACCUGACUGCUGAUCAUUCACAUUAGUUUCAUUUAAUUUCUCUCUCUUUUUUCUCUGAGAAGUGGACUUUAUAAAUAAGCCAUUUUGAGCUGGAACAAGCUUGACAUUUGAAAUACAGGGGAAUCAGAAUAUCAACCUCCUCCAUGUGUAGUAGACUUAACCAGGGUUAGGUUAUGGUUUAUGCCUCCCAUCCUGUGGAGAUCUACUUUGCAACUGGGAUAUGGAAAUUUUUUAAAUUUGGGUGAGUACAGGAGACAUUGUCCUGCGUCAUAAGCUCUUGAUUUGAGAUUUUUAACUAUUGAUUCUCCUAUUAGUCAUCAAAUCAAAGAGUGAAUGAGGGCGUUCGUUAGGAAAACCAGUCUUACGAUGAUAGUGUAUUAUGUUUGGGUGUUCAAGAGCACAAGAGAGAUGAAGAGAGGUUUACUGUCGUACUAAUCCGUGUAGAAUGGUUAAUCGCCGCACUUGGACUCAGACACAAUUAAUGCCACCCAAUUGGACGAGAAUUAGUCGCCAUCUCAUCAUUAGUACAAAUCCUCCUCACUAAUCUCAAUUGUCGUCACAUCUGUAGAGUUGAUCGAUAAGCGGGCGACCGAUAGAUAAAAAUGGCCGAGCUUGGCUGAAUGCCUUAGGCCUGCAGGCUGAGCAUGGGCAAAAAAUUCCAAAAGGCAAAACAAGGUCCUUGAGGCUCCACCCUACCCAAAUGCUCAUUCACAAAGUUAAUAUUUACUAAUAAUUUCACUUUGACAUUUGGAAUUUAUGAGCACUAAUUUGAUAAAAUGAUCCGAAAUUUCUAAUGUAUGGUUGAAGACUAUAAGAUUCAUAGAUAAAGUAGCAAACAUACUAAUACAAAGCCCUAAAAUGAUUCAGCAUUCAUUUUUAUAAUUAUAUAACUUUUUAGCUGAAACAAACAAAUAAAAAUAAAAAAGUGUUCCAAUCAGAGAGCUCAAUGCACCUGUGUUUUUCCCUUAUGCGGGCUUGAGCACUUGCCCAAGCCCUCACCACGUCAGUAAAUUCCUCUUUCGAAUUUUACACUCUAUCAACAACCAAUUCACAGUCUAGUAUAUCUCACUAUUACUUUACCCGAUAUCGUUUGUGCUACUCACAUUAUUAGUUAGUACGCAUCAUGUAUAACUCAUUUUUUUGUAGCCUUUCAAAUUCUUUACUACAUCAAUCCACCUCCAUUUUUCCCUUACACCAGCUUAAGCACUUGCCCAAAUCUAUGUGACAUCAACAAAUUGCUCUUUAGAAUCGUACACUCUAUCGACAUAUGGUUUGUAGUCUUGUAUAUCUCACUAUUAUAUGACUUGACAUUGCCUAUGCUGCUCAUAUGAUUAGUCAGUACAUGAUUGCAACCAUGGGACUCAUUCUGUUGUAGUCCUUCAAAUUCUUUGCUACGUCAAAGGUAUGUUAUUUCAUGAUUUUCACUUUUAUGCUCAUCUUACAUUGGAGUUGACAAUUUAUUUUGAAGCUGAUCAAAUUGGUGAUCUCGAGAUCGCCACUCCAUUAUAGGAUACUAUUUCUUUUUGGUUGACUCAUUUGUCCUGUCCUAUGGCAUAACAACAAAUAGACUACUAUCGCUUGCUCUAGUAUAAAAGCAAUUUAUCGAGCUUUUGCUGAUACAAUUAUUAUAGUUGUAAAAAUUGUAUUUAAUUGCUUAUGAAAAAUUUAGAGAUUAUAUUGAAUGAAAAUCUGUAAGGGAUUUCAAGAAAAUAUUUCGAAAGCAAAUAUUUCCUUCAAAUUUCAAGAAAAUAAAUGAGAGGUUCAAAACAAAAAAAAUCUCAAAAAGCACAAUAAAGCAACAAAACACAAACAACGAUUGAUUGCCAAAUCUCACAUCGUAAUAAGUGUUAAUCACACACCAUAAUCUCCUUUUCCAAAAGCUAUUUCUUACCUGGUGGAUGGUGUAUACCUAGGCUCAGUGUCUAUCAUCAUUGUAUAGAGACUAAAAAUAGGUUGAAAACGCUUCCUAAUCUAAGUCUGGAUUAAAAAAAAAAAAAAUGGACGAGCAUAGAAAUAUCUUUAAGGAACACCCAAAUCUAAAUCGGGAUAAAAGAGCUCUCAUUUUAUUGGAAGUUAAGAGCUUCCACAGCUUGAAGAAGUUGUAUAUUUGUUCCUAGUGCAGCAAGAACUUAUUCAUCCUUGAUCCCAUUGGAUUUAUUGAUUUGGAUUAUCUAAAGUAACGGGUUAAUUGCUAACGAUGGAAGCGAAAAAUAUGUCCAACAAGCGAAAGAGAGCAUCAGCAACCUGUAAAGAAAAAACAAAAAAAAUAAAAUAAAUGAAAAUAACAAAUGACUUCCAGAUCAGAUCGAGAGAGAGAAUCUCAACUUGAGUUUAGAAGAUGGAGCCUUCCUAUAAAGGACCGUAUUGAAUAUUGGCAAAACUUCAGAAACUUCCCCCGUCAUUUACCCUGGUAAUCCUCAAUAUUUCUAGCCACAGACUUGAUUUAAUAAUUUAGCGCCCAGGCAAUAAGAAUCGCUAUUUUUUCUUGGUCGGAGUAAACGAUGGUAUGUAGCUGUCGAGAAGGGAAGGUGUCGGUGGCACAUGACCAUGGCUUGAUAAGACUGCAUGUGAUUGGAAACCGGCAUAGGGAGGUCAAUUAAUUGACACUUUACACAUACAUAGAGGUGUCUGUAUUGAUGUACCCACAUUUCGUUUGGUCCCAACGGCAACCUAAUCAUAGCGUCACUGUAUCAUGGCUUACGAGAAUGAUUCUGCUAUAAUGGUUUUCAGAGAAAUUCAUGUGUUCUCUUGUUCAAUUUGGUACAAGAAAAAACUAUUUCUUUGACUUCUUCUUCUUUUUUUUUUUUUUUUUGCUUAGUCUUCUUUCAUUUGACUUGUAUUUAAGUCUCCCCAGGCGGCCAGAAAGAAGAAAGUCGCAUUAGGGUCUUUCUACAAGUGUAUAUCAUAUCGAACUUUCUUGCCUCAUCAAUGCUCUUUGUACUCCUUGUUUUGGACCCGGUGUAUCCAAACGCGGUGUUUGAUUAGCUUUCUUUCUUUUUCGAGACGUGGGGUAUGUGGAGCAAUUUCAUCACAAAUUGAUGGAUGUUAGAGUAGUUUAAUCCAAAAAAAAGAAGAAAAUAAUUUGAUAAUAUCAAAAAAUAUCCAAAAGGGUUGUGGUGAGAAUGCUCUCUACAUGUCGAUUGUCUUAAUUUACCACACAUGAAUGAAAAAAAAAUCUCCAAUAGGAAGGAAUAGUUGGAAUUUGGUAAAGGACAAACGUGACGAUGAAAUGGGAUAAAGGUUCAUUUGUUUUUGUCGUACGAAAAGCAUGGUGGGAAAGGAAUAAAAAGAAAGAUGACCAUAAAUUUAAUUUUGGAUUUAGAAUAGAUUUGAGAAUUUUUAAAAUGGAAACUUAAUGUAGUAUACAAUAGCUAUAAUUGAAUGAUAAAUAAUUGAUCUAAUGUUAUCUAAUAAUAGUUAGUAAGUCAACUAAUCUUAUGCAUACCCUCUAAGAAUCUAAUGCCUGAGAUGAUUAUGAAGCCUAAAAUAUAAAGUAUAAUAAUCAAUCCUAAUUAUCAAUAUUUUAUUGAUUUUGUUUACUAGUAUGAGUUGCUGUUAUUUAUAAUCGAAUGAAUUAUGUAGUCCUAAAUAGCUUUAGCUUUGAAAUGGAAGUCGAUUCCAUGGCUUAAGUAGUGGAAGAACAACUCCAUCAAGUUGGUGGAAUUUCGACCAAAAAAAUAAAAAAAAAGUUGGCGGAAUCAACAUUCUUUCGGAAUUGAGGAUUCCAUGAUCGCAAUUUGAUCCAAACAUGGGAAAAAGGGAUUGAACCUUGCAGUUGUGAUUCUGUUCCUACUCAUCCAUCCGAACCAAACGUGCAAAUUUUGUAACAAUGUAUAAGCAUUUAAACUCCAAUCAAACGUGGGACUUAGGUCAAACAUUUUCAUUUUUGUUCCGUGCAUUUUAUCUUCUUUUUUUCUUUUUUGGAGAAAUGAAUUUGCUAUUGUCAAACAGUCUUUAUUUAAAAAACUUAAACUGUUGAAAAAAUAGACAUCGGAUAGGAUAUCAAACAUAUAUAUUAACGCUCCCCCUUUCCAUCUAAGUUGAGUUUCACAUGUGAACAGCUCGACGAGAAUAUAACUAUGUUGAAUCAUUUUAGGUAUUAUUGCUGAAAAUUGCUAACAUGUAGAUAUCCUACAUAGGAUGACUAAUGAUGACUAAACCGUCACACAAGCCAUUUUCGACAAAAAAUUCAUAAAAGGAUUACAUUGAAAUGGCAUGCAAAGAUUUACGACUAAAUUGACAAAAUUGAAAAGUUGAGAACUCAUUUAGUAAUUUUUUUCAAAUUAAGGUAGGAUGUUUUUUAAAAAAAAAAUUAUACUAUUGGAAAUCAAACCACGUUUUAGGGAAAACUUCAAAUAAUGACCUGAAUUACUUUUAUUUUUUCAAAAGAGAGUAUAUAGUGAAUAUUGUUUCAAAUAAGGAUUUAAAGUAGUCAUGGCGAUUCCAAAAAAAGGUCUAACCUCAUUGGCUGAUGAAAUAUUUUGGCCGGUCAAAGGCAUUUUUCAUCUAAAGACAAACUUUUUUUUUUUCCUUUUUUCUGUCUUUUCUUCCCUAUACAUAUUCUUCUUCGUCUAGCAAGAUGAACAAGGAAGAGUGGCCAAAGCAACAACCUUAGCAACUAGAGCCAUAUGCAAGAAUAACCAACCUCGGUAUUGAAGCGAUACUGGUGCAAGCUGUGGGUGCGGGCCACAAAGCCUUGUCCAUCGCCAAUGAGAGUCGCAACCCUCACCCAGCCUUGCCUAGAUUUGGGGAGGCCGUUGUGGCAGUGGAUGAGGACUCUCUCGCCAUGACUUUGCCAGUUGUGGGUAAGAGCGGCCAACUAACAACUUUGAGUCCCCUUUAUGAUUUGCUUUUCAAGACCCAAAAUCGUAGCAAAUUGGUCGACCUCAUUUGCUCAUCUCUCAAGAACUCAAGUCCCCAUCUUGCGCUCUUACGUGAUGACCUAAAAUCGUUCCUUUCUCAUCCGUGUAAUGAUGAAAUCUUGCGGACUUUAUUGAGAUGCCAAUCGAAUUAUGCCUCAGCUCUCACUUUCUUCAAUUGGGUCAAGGAUGAUUAGGGUCUCGGACUCAGCGGCUGGCAAGGUCAUGACGAGGUCAUGAUGAAGAAGAAGAUACAACAAGGAAGAAAAGGAAGAAAAACUUACAAAAAUUAUCUUUGAACAAAAAUACCUUUCACUAGUUGAAAGAUUUGGUCGGCUGGCGAUGUUAGAAUAUUAUUUGAAACUGACAUAAUUAUUUUGAAUUUUUAUUUGAAAUAAUAUCUACUUUUAAUCAUUUUUGAGAAAUUGAACACAACUGUCAUUCUGGAUUUUCCCCACAUUUUAUGUCGAACAUGAAUAUAAAAAGGGGUUAGGUUGGUGACGUGGCUAAUUUUCCUUCAUGAUUGAGUUAGUUUGCACCCAAUUCUUUCAUCGUUACAUUUAAUGUAACGGGUCCCUCGUCCCUUAUGUUUAGGUUUAAACUUUUUCCCUUUUCGGGAAAAGAAGUCGUCGAUACAGCUUAUAUAGCUGAGUCCUUGACAGUGCCUUGGUCCCGACAUUGUUAGGUUUUGUUAACGUUUCUCCUUGUGAACUAACCCUUAGGUUUAGGUAGAACAUGUAAGAGCCUCAUGCAACUAUCUCAUUCGAGGAAGUAACAACAUCCUUCCAGCAAUUCUUUUUAGCUUCAAGAAGACGAUUUGGGAGAGAGAUUGUAUGGUCCAUGGACCACAUGGAUCACAAACAUUAUUGAUAAUGUGGAUCUCACAAUAUAUCCCACUCAAUAAAUGAUAUACAUGAUCCAUAGACCAUGUAAUAACUUCUCAAUCUAUGAGAGAGAGAGAGAGAGAAAUAACUCCUUGAAAUAGGGUGAAAUGUAGGAGAAACUUGUAUUUAUGGCAAUUCGGUCCUAAAUUUCUCAAUUUGGUCAUAAAUAUUUUGACAGUUUGUAAAUAUAAUUUAUCCAGUUAAUUUUGGUUGAAAAUUAUUGAUGUGGAUGCCGAAGUAUUACAUGACACAAUUGACUAUGGUGUGAACAAUUCUUAUAGUUUUUUAUUAUAAUAUUUUUUGUUCUUCUUUUCGUUCUUCCUUAGUUGAUUAUUGUGUUUUGACAAUGAUUAGCAAUCGGGCACAAGUGACGAUUGGCUAGGGUUGCCCUUACCAACCUUAGGCGAAAGUCCAUCCCUCGCCUGAUCUUCCAGCAAGAUCGAGCCUCGCCUGAAGCUGGCAAGGCCGGCCCUCACAAGUCUCUAGUAAGGACGAGCCUCACCUGAAGCUGGCGAGACGGGGGUGGAGAAAGGUGGGCCCCCACAAAGUAGGGAUGAGGGGGCAGACAACAACACAUUGGUACAGCUGGGAGGUGGGGUGGAGGGAGGUGGCCCCCGCCAAUUUAAGAGGGUAGUGUUGUAGUGUGUGGUUUGUGGAUUGAGGGAGAGAGAUAAGAGAGAACGUGCGUGGCCUUUUGUCCCAAUUCGUGAAAAUGAAAAUUCCCCCCCAUCGCCCGUUCAGUCCCCCCCAACUUACAAUUUGCCAUCCCGCCCCUGAUCGGCGCACCCCACAUGCACGCAAUUCGUGUUCCUAGUUUUCAUCCACUUUACUUAAUCCCUCGUUCGUACAUUACGAUGCUGUGCGUGAGCUGUGACUGUUGAUUGCGAACUCCACCUCUGAUCUCUUGCUGAAGGAGGAGGAGGUGAGGAUCGCAAUGAUCAUCUUAUAUGCUUAUCAUGCGAUCAAUAAGAUCAUAGAGUCGUCCGUGCUCUGGAAGUGCCAGAAAAAUCUCUCGGUUCUGUCGACUGUGUUCGAUAGGAAGCGGUUCGGCUGCGACCGUCUUCUUUCUUUCGUUCGGUUUAUUCAUUAAAGAGUUAAACCUGAUUUUAGAUGUAAUAGUGAGCGCUGAGACUUUAAGUGUGCUUGAUGUGUUUUACCUUUCUUGGCUCGGGCGCGGGGGAGUCUGGUCGCAUUUGUUUGGCGAUUAAGUGCUCCAGUUAAGAAGAGAUUCGAAUAAUUUAUAAGGAAAAAGAAAAGAAAGGAGAUAAGAAAGGAACAGAAUGAAAAUGGAGACAAAGGCGACCUAAAUAUACUUUAUGUUAUUAAAUAUUGAGAUAAAAUAGAGGUAAGUGCGGAAAAAAAGCAAUUUUGUCUCUUCAUUAGUUGCACGAAUCCGUGCAUUAUUAGAUGGACUAGGAGGGACUUAAAAAGCUGCACAAAACUGGUUGCAUUAAUUUGUCCUUCUCUUCGAUCCAAACUCAUCAAGGUAAAAUUAAUGUUCGAACAACGAAGUGAAUCGCCUCGAGCCCUUUCGAGGGCGGAUAUCGUGUUUUGUCACAAGAUAGAUUUCAUGGUCCAACAACGAGGUUUCAUAAUCGGAGGAAUCUGAAGGUCAUAACACUCAUCGUCCUAUAAGGGGAGAAAUACCAAAUGUGUCGGGUGGGUAUCAUGUCCUUGUGUAUUCGGCAGUGUUCUUUUUCUUUUCUCUCUUUUUCUGGGGGGCCAAUGACUUCUUCCUUUGUGAAGCUGCAACUAACCUUUCGAGAUUCUUAGUUGUACUACUCAAUUCUUAUUCUUGUUCAAGGCAUCAUUAUGAUUUGUGAGGGAAUCCAUUAAUGAACGAACAGUUGUCAUACAUAUGGGUUUAGUUGCUUGUGAGAACGUGGGAAUUCCCAACCAAAUUAACCAAAGUCACUAUUGCCACACCCUUUCUAAUUGCAUUGACAUAUAUAGCCUCACCUCAAUCAACAGACAAAACUCAGGACAUAAAAUUUUAUUUAACAGGCAGGAUAAUGCUCAGUUUCAGUUCUUUUAUUGAGAGAACAGAGAGAGAAAGAAGGCCCGGGAUUCAGGGCUGUCGGGCGAGCUCCUCAUCGCAGCUCCACCAGAUGCUACCGAGAACGUCGCGACGGAUAAUAUGCCAAACCUCAAACUUGUCCAUUGCAAACUACUGGGAUUUUCUGAGCUAGGAAUAGGAGGAUGGGAAAAAUCAAACUUGCGACUUUUGCAAAUCAAGUUUUGACCCUCGACCAACUACUAGGCCGGUGCGUCAAUGGUACUUUAUCUUACUGGGAAUUCGUUCUAAAGUGAACUUUUAAAAAAGAUACUUACAUACUGUGCUGCUUUGAUCAAAUUUUAGAACAACCUUUAAUUAACGAAAGUCAAUAUAUAUAAAUAUCCAUAUUCAAAAUAAGGUGCUCCCAAUCAACUCUGUGCUAGUCAAUAAUGUAUUCUGUUAAGUUGAUGAUGUGACAAAUGAGUCACGUCGACUUUGAUGACUUGUGGAAAGAAAGAUAGACAUGAAAGCGGCGAAGUCAAUUUUCCUCUUUAAUUAUUUAUUUGGCCCUCAAUUAAUAUUCACUGUUAGAUGAUUUAUACAUAUGUGUAUAGUUGGUUUUCCAACUGAAUUCUUCCAUAUAUCAAUCACUUAAUAAUGAUAGAGUAGCUUAUAUUUUACACCGACAAUGGAUUUAAUGAAAAACCCUUUUCGAAAUAAAAUUAUAAGUGUUGCGACGGAUUUUUCCCCCAAAUUAGAUCUCUUUCAAAAAAUAGUUCCCAAAAUAGAUCUCUCCCCAAAUCAUAUGUCAAAAUAGACUUCUCACUACCGCACGGCUCUUGAAGACGGCUACAUUUUUAAAAAAUUAAUACCCAAUAAAGAUAUUUCCCUAAACUAUGUGUCAAAACGAACUUCUCAAUGUCACAUCACUUGGCCAGAUUGCCUAAUCAUCACACGCUUGAUCUCAGUCAUCUUUACCGCCUCUCUCUUAAAUUAUUAAAAUCACUUUCUAAGACUUUUCAUGAUCUGUACUUUCUUCUUGAAUCAAUUUAUCAUAAAUAAUUAAAGUCUGAGUAUAAGUGCAUCUAACCACUCGAUUUUAAUUCGGCGUUGCCUCUCUAUAUAAAAAAUAGAAAGGUAAAGGCGAUUAUGAAGUUUAUUUUGGUAAAUGGUUAGAGAGAAAUCUAUUUUGAAAAUUAUUUUUAGAAAAACAACUAUUUUGAAAAUAAAAAGUCUUUGUCACGAUGUACUUUCAAUCAGAAGGACGUCAUCGAAACUUAUAUCCAAAACGAAGCAAAAGCAAAACUCUCGUGUGGCUGACAAGCAGAAGACAAUAGAACAAAAUUAAAGGAAUUUUAUUGACAUAAAAAUAAAGGAAUUAAAAUCGGGAUUUAUCUUCAAAUUAUUGUGCUUGAUGACAUCUUGAAAUCACAACAUAAUCUUUUUAUAGCAUAACUAUCAUGAUUGUAAGUUACAAUAGGUAUGCCCAGAUUAAUAAAUUUAUGAAAUGUAAUUACCAUAUGAAAGUUAAUUCAAAGCUUAAUUAUUGCCCCAUCUACAUAGUAAUUUUUUUUUUUUUUCGGUUCUUUUCAUUCACCCUAACCAUUUUCUUAACUAACACAAGUAAAAUGACAUGCAAAAUUUGAGAAAAAUGUCUAAAAAAUCUUAAACAUAUUGAAUAACGACUAAUUUAGUUAUAAAAUUUUCAAUUUAGUACCAAACAUUUUGAUGAUUUGCUAGUGAAAUCCUUUCAAACCAUCAAAUCAUCAAAAUAUUUAGGACUAGAUUGAUCAAAUUGAAAAAUUUAUGAUUGAAUUGAUCGAUAUAAUAAAUUUAUUACUCUUUAGGUAAUUUUCUCCAUAAAAGUCAAUAUAAAUCAAAAGGGUCUUGGCCAUCCAUCAAUCAACACUCCACCACUUUAAUGACCCACUUACCAUUGAAGAUCUUUCAUAACCAUUUCAUUGCAUAAAUAUCUAAUGACAAGACAGGAGUAGUUGACAAAAAGGGAGAAGAAGAGAGGAAAAGCGCAUCGCAGUUAGACGCUAGUAUGAAUAUCCAAUCUUUUCGUUUGAAUAUGUUCAUGAUACAUAUAAACAAUCCCAUCCCAUUCACGUACGUCGGGUAAAACUUCACAUUCAAAACGAAAAAAGUUUACCGAAAAAUUGCUUUUAGUUGGAGACGUAUACGAAAAUUAUUGCACGCAUAUCAAUCGUUUGGUGAUCUAUCGAUCCGCCAAACUAUACUUGAAAGUAAAACUCGGGUGUCAAAUCUGAAGCCUCGUUAGCUAUUACUGGAGUGGGAAAAGAGAAACAUCAUUGGCUUUAUUAAGGAAAAAGGAAUCUCGAUCCUUAAUCGUCCGACAAAGCUCGAUUCGCAUUGGUCCAUCACGAGUGGACAUCAGCAAACGUGGGUAGAAAGAGCCCACGAGUUCAACAAGCCCGGAUCAUCACGUCAAUUUUCGCAUGCGGAAACCGCACGCAAUCGGCAAUCUUAAAUUCGUGCCUUCUUUGCUUUGAUUGGGCAGAAUUAAUCAUCGACCAAAAAAUCACUACUUUGAGAAAAGUUUUCCUAAUCAUGACCGAAAUGAAUUGCUUAGAGAAAUGAGUAGUAACGAAAAAAAAUAAUUCGUUAUCGAUAAUAAUUUAUAUCUAAAUAUUUUUCUUGAUAAUGAAAAUAUUUUGAUUUGACUUAUUUUUCUAAGAGAUCAAUCUUUGAUUUUUCGCAUACAAAAUCAUUGAUAUUUUAUAUAUUAAGGAAAACCGACACACUGAAUCCGUUAAUAUAGAAAGACAGAGUAAGUGCCACGACAAAGUAACACGUUCCAAGUCAAGUAUUUGGCCACCGACCAAAAAAAAAAAGAGUCAAGUAUUUGGCCCUUGAAGUCAUCAUUUCGCCCUUGAUAAGAAAUUUAGAGGCAAAUAAAUUUAUUUUCUUGGGUAUUGCCACCUCUAGAUAUAUUUAUAACUAAAGGCGAAUUCGAAAUAAAUAAAUAUUUGCCUUUAAUGUUUGUAAUUAAAGUCUCGCAAUGGAGGACUGGUCUCAUUCGUCGAAAUCAAGAGUUGAUAUCUCAAUUAUUUGGAGGUAAACUUUGACGAAAACUUACACUAUAUUAAGAAGAACCCCAAUCCUCAUUUUUGUUAUAUUACUAUUCUAGGCAUUUUCUUUUUAUAAUGUCUAUAAAUUGAAAUGUGGGGGAGAAAAUUUAAAUAUGUAUCUUAUAAAACACUACGAUUUGGUUGAUCAAUAGUAACUCAUUGAAAUUGUCACCGAUCCUCCAUGUGGAGGAAAUUACCAAAUAAAUCCGUAAAUCUAUUGCACUGGAGUCAAUUCAAUUAUAAACAGAUUACCAAUUUAGUCAUUUUGGUCAAUUUUGAACAUAAAUCAUUGACUUUGAAAUUUUUUCAAACUUUCCUUUUUGUCCUGAGUUUUGAACAGAAAUCAUUACCAAAUAAAUCCUUUCUUUUUUUUAAUUGUCACUGCCUAGGGCUUUGUGGCCCUCAACAAUCACAUUGAAAAAUAAAAGAAAAAACUAAAAAAUAGAUAAAUAAUUCAUAAAAAUUAUUAAAAAAAAAAUAUCUAUGCCAACAUCAACCGUUCUAAAUAAAACGGCUGACAUCCGCAUCAAAGAUUUCAUUCCGAAAUUGGCCAAAAGAAUUACAUUGCUUAUCAAAAGGUUUAGAAUUAAAUCGACCAUAUUGAAAUGUUUAAAAUUGAAUAGACACAAAUAUAAUAGGUUUAAGAUAUUUCUAAUUUCCCCAUGCACAUGAUGUUACAUCAUACUAUUCAUGGACAUAAGGUUUGAGUUUGGGUUUGACAAUUUGGGCUUGAGCUUAACUCAUCCAAUUUGAGCCUUAACAAGCUUAUUGGUUAUCCAUCUAUUUGUUGAAGAUAAAGAGGUUUGUCCAUUGAAUCAUCUAUCGGUUCUUCUCCAAAUCCAAAUAAUAAUAAUAAUAAUAAUAAUAAUAAUAAUAAUAAUAAUAAUAAUAAUCAUAAUAAUAAUAAUAAUAACUCGCAAGAACAACGCUGAUUAUCAGGAACAUGGCAAGUUCAUGGGCCGACACGGACCAUACGAGGAGGGGAAGUGGAUCCGUAGACAUACUUGGUUCGUAUUGAAUCCUUAAAAUUGCCCAAGUGGGUUGUGUUUAUCGCUUGCUCAAUGAUUAGAAGACUGCACGCUCACGAACUUCACAGAGUAGGACACCAUCUAUGACCAGCUGGCUAAUGACCUUGUGGCGAUCUAAUCAAACUAACAUACUUCCUACAGAAAUGAACCAUCGAAAACUGAGGCAUGAGUUCACACUACUUAGGAAAGAGUCGACUCCAAAAUUCAGAUCAGACUCGUCUUUUGACCUUUCCAUAAGAUACCAAAUAAGGCAAGUCAAACAACUGCAGAAGCAGCACCUUUUUCACAUUAUUAGGCAAUUACGAGAUUGCUAAACAGAAUGGUCCUUGAACUUCUCGAAGGUUUUGAUAGCUUGCAAGGAGCCAGUACACUCAAGUCCUUGUUUUGGAUUUCCUUUUUCCUUUCCAUAAUCCCUAUGUAAGCCCAGCCCAUAUAUGACGAUCAGAAAACCACCAUGAGUAUCGGGACAGGGUGCUGAAGCGUUUCCAACAUGUACAUCUUUCGACAGACUAUUGGAAAGUACGCAUGCUUGAUAAAAACAUGAGAACAGAUGCCUGGAGCGCUAGGUUUACCUUCGGAUGGUGGAGGUGCCUUAGAGUGAGCGCUGCUGAGAUUUUCGUACUUGCCAGCCAGUGAAGGGCUCAGAUGGACCCUAUGUGAAGAGAGGGGAGAGUUGGUUGCGUAUUGCACGCUAGUUAAGAAACUUACUCCUGUUUGCAGCAUAACAUCCACUGAAAUAUUUAACCUCGAUCAGCUGAGCAAAUAGUAAUUUAUGGACUCAACUUCAGAAACUUGCAUACCAAGCUGAGAAGUGAGUUCUUGGAGGAAAAACAUUCCAAUUGGGAUUUCGAGGGACAUUUAGCAGCAGCAGAUCACAAAAGGCAACCUUCGCUGCCUCAUCCAACACCAUAUCGGUCUGGCAACAAUCUGUCGCAAUGAUGGGUGAAUGGACAUGAAAAUGUCAAUUAUUUCACUAUUACAUAGGUCUGAAUAGCAGAAGAGAAGGCAAAGAAGACCAGUUUUUUGCUGAUUUAUUUUGUUUAAGCAAAAGUAAGAUGCCGUAGUGUUAUCAAACAAUCAAUCAGUACACUUGAAUCCCUCCAAAUUAUUUAUCAACCCCCCUUGAGAGACCCAAUCUCCAAAUAGCAGUAACAAAUGCGUUGCGCAUAGAACGUACCUCGGAGACAUCACGUGAAAGCGGCUGGAACUGUACUGGGACUGGGCUGAUUUGGAGCAACAUCUGCCACGUCGGCAAUGAGAGGCACCAAGCUGCUCCGCUUCAUUGAUGGCUCGGCCAAGCAUGAACUUGUAGGGAGAUGACAAGAAGUUAUCCAGUGGUCAUAGCAAGGCAGAUGAUCUGGCAACAACACGACUAAUGCAGCCUGAGGAGAGAUGUGCUAAACAUGGCAACAGGAGAUAUUGAUUGGUGCUUUGUACAGUGUUGUAGUUCAAAUCAGCAGAUAGAUGGAAAUAACAUGACAUAAAAUGGCAGACAGUUGCAGCAACAACCAUUGGAAAUCAAUCAAUAGUUCUGCGAUUUUUAUAUCCCAGAAAUUUUUAAUUUAGCAAAAUUCAGAAUAAAAAUCAUGGCAAUAGCAUGUGGAACAUCAUUAUAUGAUUAUGUUGGGUCUUUUCUUUUUCUGGAAUAAACUUAUAAAAAAACUAUUGACUGGGGCACGAGGCAAAUUUUAUCUACCAACUUUUAGUUUUGACUAAAAACGUAACACCACAUCCACAUCUCUCACUCCAUCAGGCAUUAGUGAAGGCUUCAAUUAUAAUUCGAUUUGGGACCUUGACAGUCACUUAGACCAUUGAGCUCAGUGUCAACCACGUUGUCUGCUAAAUAUAGUCAGCAGAGGACUCCAACAAAAUUUGCUUAACUCUAUGAAUGGUGGCCAUAAGGCUUGGCUAAUCACUCUAGACAUAGUGAAGCAUGUUACGGUAGCAUCCAUAUUUGUGAUCUAAGAGUACAACCUAAUCAAUUAAUGAUUGAGGUGAUAUCUGAGAGCUUAAACUGGGUUUUAUAAUCCUCUGGAUUCUGGAGCUGUGCUGAUGCCCUCUCGGCAUUCUUCGAUAAAACCUCACAUUAUUUACAUUUUUUUUUUCCUCUUCCAUGACUCCACAGCAAGUCAUUUAAUUUAAUAAAGAAGAGUUCGACCAAAAAAGAAAAUUAACAAAAAAGAUAGAGAGACACUCUAACAAAACUGUUGCUGCUUUCUCCUCACUUCUUAAAUUAUCCUUUAGCUUUGACUCUACUUUGAAAUUUUGUGACAACCUCAGGAGAAGCAGGUAUCAGAGAAACUCAAAAGAACCACGCUUCCAUAUCAAGCACUAGCGCUUUGUCCUCGGAACAAAUUGACUCCAAAAACUCAUAGAGCAAUGCUGCAUAAUAUACUGAGUGCAAACUCAAAAUGGUCUUACACUUACCAGCUCAUCCAGUGUCAUCAGGGAAAAACAAAGACCACCAUCUUACAUGAAUUCCAAAUCAUCUGACUGUUGUUCCAAGACCUCAUAUUCCUCACUAGAACAUAUAUCUCCUCAUAUUCCUCACUAGAACAUAUAUCUCCUUCUUCCUCCAUUCCACGGACAUCUCGGUCCACUGCUCCUCUCUAAGAUGAGCUAGAUAGUUUACCUCACAGAAAGCUUCUGCCGUCGGCUUCUCGCUGAAUAAGAAAUAAUAUUAAUAAUAAUAAAACAAACAAACAUUAUUGCAUGCAGUAUGACAGUAGUUUGGAAGCAUGUGCACUAUAUGCACAAUUAUUUUGAUGUAUUAAAUUGAGAACAGUUGUUCAGGAAAGGAUGUUCUCCAACCUGCCCCGAAGGAAUCCCGUUUUACAAAUCCAAUAGGCCAACGGUGACUCCAUAGCAACUUGGUCUUCUGGCACUUGGAUUUCCCAUUCCCCAGGACAAACCUCUUUGAAGUAUGAAGCCGCAGCUGAUUGUGGCAUUCAUAGACCAAUUUCAUUGUUUUCUAGCCUGCACCGAUCGCAGCAUACAAAUCUGAAUCAUACGAGAGAGAGAGAGAGAGAGAGAGAGAGAGAGAUCCAAAGGACAGACCCAAGAAGGCAAAUUAAUAGCAUGGCAAGCGGAAGCUUAUUUCAGAUGAAUAAGCUAGAACAGUACAAAGCCAAUAAAGUAAGUCCAAAGCUUUAAAUUGAGGAGAUAAGACAACAAAAGGAAGUGCUUUCAAAAGUAAGUCCAAAGCUUUAAAUUGAGCAGAUAAGACGAUAAAAAAGAAAUGCUUUCAUUGAUGUUUCACCUUGCAAAGUUGACACUUUCACUUAUCCCUCAUUAGUCAGGAAAAAAAAAUUGAAGCCUCUAGGUGAGCUUUUGAAAAUUUCGAAAAGCAGCUUUGGCGUCUCAAAGUGAUUUAGUGAAAGCAGGUGGCUGCUUUGGACUGUGGGCCUGAAACGUAGGUUUUGGGGUCAAGAGUUUCUAAAGAAUGUUACCAAACAAAAAAAAAUUCAAUCAAAAGACACUGAAAUUUAGAACUGCAUUUCAAUAUUUUCCCAUACUCACAACAUGAGAAAGAUGUAUUUGCGCCCAUCAAACUGGACAGGUGCAAACAUCAUAUCCUCCAUAUUUUAUAUUCUCUAAAAACAUAUUGAUAACAUGGCCCAAGCGGGUGAUUAAGCCAACCAGAAUGGAUACAGCAAAUAAUGAUGAGAGAAAAUUUAGAAAAAAACUAAAAGAACAUCAUAUCAUAAUAAUAAUAAAUGGAGAAAAGUAGUGAACUUGAAGCCCAUGAUGAUAUAUCAGUGAAAUGAGGUGCACAUACAAUUGCUCCUCCUUCAAAGAAACCUUCCUUUAAAGCAUGCAGUAUCACCCUUACGAUACAUUAGUCAUGACAAGCCAUGAUUUGAGAGAUCCCAUUUGCCAACCCACCAACAUUGCUCUUGUCCUUCAAAGCCUUCAAGAAACUCCUAUCAUUCACCAUUUUGCGAGGAAACAAAAAUGAAUGACCACCAUAGUUAUCUUCAAGGAAGCAGGUCAGCUCCUUGUUUGUCCUGAAUACAGAACCCCUAAAACCACACCUAUGAUCUUGGGGUCACAAUGAUGUCACGCCUGAGCUACUAUUUGUCAAGCUUGAUGGAGAACUGCUGUUGCUUGUGCUUCUUUCACUGGAGAUCAGAGUAUCUACCCCAGUAGUAUAUGCUUUGUCAAAAGGGCAAAUAGUACUCCAUGGUGGUGGAAUGGGAACUUUAGGAGCUCUGACCGCAGGAGGAUGGCAAACUGCUUUUGAAUGAGAAGCAGCAGCUUUGAUUGCCAUAAGGGAUGUGUACGCAUUGCAAUCAGGAUAAUCCCAUGGAAAGUGGGGCAGGUAAGCCUGCCAAAUGAGAAUUGCAUGCUACUUUUAACAACCAACCAUAGUAGAUCACAUAUUCACGCUUCAAAACUUAGAUCUUUUGCAAUCCAGUGCUUCUCCCUCAAGCCUAUCGCAUGAGCCCCCUUGGAAAUAAGAGGAAUCCAGAAGGCCUUAACCCAACUCAAGGGGAGUACGAUUGAUCAUCUAAAAAGAAAACGACAAUUAUGAAUUCAUUUUUCAUAUGAUGAGUAUUCUAAAUGGGGUUGGAGAAAAAUGGAAGGGGCUAAUAAUCAUCACAUGCACACACCUACAGCCCAUUGCAACCUCCUAAGGAGGUCCUAGAACUUGGAUAUUCAGAUAAGGCUCAUUACCCCCUCAUGUGAUUGCACAGACUAACCAACACAUAAAACAACUUGACAUCCAAAGCCAUAAUCAGGAAUGGAUAUAAAUAACCAAUACUGCUGAGGAUACAAUAAAAGGAAAGAAGAAGACUAACAGGUUGCAAAUGACAGAUAGAUAAAGAGCAGCUCCAGCACAAAUUAUUAAUAAUUUCUUUAAUUGAAUGAUUAUCAGAUAAGCCAAGCACAAGGUCAAGAUCUUUUCCAAUUCAGACUAAAAGAUUAAAUAAAUUCUCCAAGAAAAUCUCUCCAAUUAUGAAUAAAAAGGUAGAGAAUCUUCUUUCCUCCUGCAUUUUUGUAUUUACUACUGAGAACUUAACUAGGACACUGAACUAAUUCCUUGCAUGAAAUACAAAUACUUAAGGUAACUUGUCGCCCCAACUCUAUAUUACAGCUGCCCAGAUAGGCGUCGUGUACUUUUUACCAAGCAAAAGAUGUCCAGAUUCCUCAAAGAAGAAAUAAGUAAAUAAAAAAAAUAUAUAUAUAUAUAGCAAGCCUUUGUGUAAACAAUCUCUGCAGCUAUGCCUCCCCUUUAUCGAGAUGUCUUAUAAAGCAACAAGCCAGAAACUUAUCAUGGCAUCAACAGCUAAAUUUAUUUACCCUUUAAGACAGUCAUGUGCGCUCCCAUUUCUUAGAAGCAUUGUAGGGCAGGAUCUUGAAGACUGUGACCUAUCUAAAUAAUUUGACAUCCCAGAGUUAAGAUUAUCCAAGCACAAGAAAUCUGUACACUUCUUGUGCCUCUCUACGUGAAGAACAUUCUCUUCAAUUGGGGUUCUUAUUCCUGAAGCAGCAUCCCACAAACCAUGAUGUGCCUGUGACAAUAGGAGUAAACCUCCUGCUUUGUCCAAAGGUUGUGUCGUAGAUGACUGCUUUUCAGUUGCAUGUGAUAAAACCUAGUCAACUUUGCUAAGAGCUAUCAUUUCUGAAUCAUUAACAGCUUCUUCGUCCUUGUAUUCCUGAGGGUCCUUGACCAUGAGAGAGAGAAUUGCAUGUGAAUGAAAAUCGUCCUCGUUGUGAAGCAAGUCACAUUUCAUCUUCUUUUCAUCCAUACCAGCCUCGACAGAAGAAUGCUUCUUCAACUGAAAAGGUCUUUUUAAAAUUCUGCACAACCAACCAGAACCAUUUAGCCAAUUUCAAAUAAAUAACUAGGAAAAAUUGGAAUUGUCAUGCUCCUUGAUAACUCACUGUUUUAUUGGAUGUAAAAUCUUCUGAAGAAGCUUAAAGGCACCUGAUCCCAUAACUUCCAACUUUGUAAGAUGACUCUCAAGCGAAGAGCGACGGAUGAAACUACCCAAUUCAUCCAUCUGAUGUGAAAGAAAGGAAAUGAUGAAGAUGUAGAGAAUCAUUGCCAUGCCAGCCACUUAAUAUUGCUAGGAGCCCAAUAUUUAAGUGAUUUAAUGAACCUUGAAAUUCUUGAUUUAACAGAAUGAGCAGGAAAUCCAGUCAAGUGGAUUAUGCAGUUAGUGCAACACACUAAAUAUAAAGCCAAAAAUGGUGUGAUUUUCUUAAGCCUUUUCCCUUUUAUAUCCCUCUUUCUUUUGGUAGAAGGGAGGUAGGCAUUUCCAUAAUCAUGGCAACAAUUGUAAACAGAAAUCUGCUACGACCUAUAAGCUUGACUUUGACUUUGGUAAAAGUGGAUAUACAAUUUUGCUACCACUAAUGUCAUAGUCCUAAUGUAUUUUAUUGAUAAAUUGAGUGAAAGAACUAUAAGAAAGCAAUACCUCCUUUUGACAUGCACACUUUAGAGCAUCAGAUCCUUCAGUAAAGGCUGAUGUAUGUAUCCAGACCCAUAGACGACAAAAUGGAACAGAGCCAUCGAUAUUCUCAGGUACACCUUCCCUGUUUAAAGUGCAAUCCUGCUGAACUUUACCAGUAUUAUGCUGGUCCAAAUGUCUCCACAUAUACAUAACCGGAGCAAUUGGCUUGGAAAGAGGUGUCCCAGCAUGAUGAAGCUGCAAUACACGAGUUAAGAAGUUACAACCGUUGGAUUUAAAUUCAUCAUUCGUUUACCUUGAAUUCCAUUGAAUUGUUUACCAUAGCCCUUCCAUAUGUAACACCAGAAAGAAUUGAAUGAGACAUGUCCAUUGCAUGUGCAGAUGGAGAUGGAACUAGCACUCUAUCUAACAAUGAAGUCAAAGAAUCCUGCAACCAUAGAAAGUAAUUGCUAGUUUGAUUACAAUAUUACUGAACAAAAGAGGAGACUGUCCAGUUCUAAGCUAAAAUGAUAAUCAGUUUGCUUAAGCUGCUAAAGCUCCAAGGCAAAAAGCUUAACAGAAGUAACAAUGAAAACACAUGUGCUCACAUAUACAUAAUGACACCGAUUAUGCAAGUUCAAAGACAUAAGAUGCCACCUCUGGACCCUCCAACUGGACGGCAAAAUGGUAACUAGCAUCAUGAAUGACUACUCCUUGCUUAUACCGCUUCAAGAGAGCUCUUGAACCCCUCCCUCUACAACACAGAAAAAACAAUGAAUAUGUUGAAAAGUCUAAAUGCAUAUGUCUUUCUAUGGAUUCAAAUUCCAGUCACAUCCAAUAAUAAGCAAGUUUAAGAAGUGGGCAAAAGACAAGUUGCUAUCGACAGAACCCUCUGGGGGAGAAAAAACACCAAGCUUAACAUACCCUGUCAAUUGCCCUAAUCCAUUAAAAACAGUGUAUCAAGUCAUGAUAACAUUGUGAAAAAGACAACUUAAUCACCUGCCCUGCAAACCGAGAGGAAGGUAAAAACCCCACAACUUGGUCAUAGUAAACCACUUUGCAUGCCAAACAUGAGUUCUGAGUCUCCUAGUUCCAUCCCCGGAUGUACAGAAACCACUCUCAGGAUUUUGUUUCAGCUCAUUUCUGCACCGUACCUGUCAAGGAACUUUGCCUGGAGCUGCAGGAUUGCGAUCAGCACCAGCCACCUGUGAAUCCUUUCGCCUCUCCCUAUGCCUUCUAUUGGCUAGUUGGUUGUCAUGGGCAGUGGUUCUCCUCCUCUUAUCCCUACGAGAGUGAAAGUUAUUGCUCAAUUUGUUGGCUACGAUGGAGUGUAGAUUCUCCAUCUCAGCAGCUCCAGAUUCUGCAAAAUUUCUAACACUGAGAGUUCGAGGAGCCACUGAUCUUUUACUUCCAUCAGAGCCCAUCACUGCCCACAGAAGAACCAGAAAACUGUUACUCAAUUCCUGUCAAAUAGUUUCAGAUUACUUCCAAUUGAUGUAAAAAAUUCAACAAUGCUAAAAAAAAUGAUACAUCCUCAAACUCAAAGCACCAGACGCUAUGGCUGGUUGUUGAGGAUGUAGUAUAUCUAUCCGAAAACUAUAGACGACUCAACUUCAGACAUACUACAACCUCCUAUAGCCAACAGAAGCUGGCCACUCAACAAUGCAGCAAUUAACGACAAUAACCUCGACAUAAAGGGUGAGAACAGCAUCUAAAUUUGCGGCACUCUCAUCAUUGCUACACACUCCAGAGUAAUAAAAAGAAAUCCUCUUAAGAGAGGUUUGCAGGUAAGGACAGCAGCAGGGGAAUAAGCAAUAUGAUCUUUACAUAUUCUGCCUCCUCUUCGAAUCGACAAAGUAAAAGUAAUUGCAAAGAAACCGCACUGAAGCUUGCUCAAACAAGGAAGCCAACUAGACAUGUGCACAGCCAAUCCCGUGGGCCAAACCACCGCCCUCCCAUUGCCCCAUGCCGCAAGGCAGGGCACCCCGUGGAGUAAGGUGGUACCCCACCCCCUCAAUGAUUAAAUUAUCAACCUUCCAGAGGGCAAAGACUAAUGUGAAUAACAAAUGCAACUAAAACUUAACAACCGAAUUGGACUCAAAACAUAUAUGGAACUUUGAAAUGCUCAAUCAGGACCAAAACAGAGAGGUGAGAGGGCGCCACGCACGGAUGAGAAAACACGGAGAGAAAGGGAGACACGCACUCCUUGAGCUUCAGCAACUGCCGUAGUCGACGGUGAGGUGGUGAGAGGGAGAGAAGAGCAAGGACCUUGAGUUCAAGGAGGCGCGGAAGCGAGACUUACGAGACGAGAGGGAGGGAGAAGUGAGAGGGGCGUUUUUCUUGAUAAGGAAGAUUACAAGUUCCGAUAACUUGUGCACAGUCUAGAUAUUUAAAAAAUUUACCAUUAAGCCCGAAUGUUCUGAAAUGUGUAUAAUCAGGUCCUAAUUACUCGGGGGUGAAGCAAACCAAUGCAUCGGCCCAUGUUCAUAAUCAGGUCCUUACUUUUUUAUUUAUUUUGAAGCAAACAAACCCUUUUUUUAGUUUUUUUUUUUGUGACCGAGGACUCCACCACAUGCUCCCCGUGCCUGAACGACUCCUAAGGAUUGGGUCUCUAUACCUCGGGGAAAACUAGUACAGCAACCCUUUUUUAGUUAAUACUAUAAAAAAAACCCUAAACUAGUACAUCCUGAACAAAUUUAUAUUAAAUUGGUACAUUUAUAAUAAAUUUACAUUCUAUUAGUUUCCGUUAAAUUUUACUGUUGAAUUAUUGAAUUUGAUAACGGUUGAUGAUUGAUCGGUAUACCAAUUUGAGAUUUUACUCUCCAUUUGUUACAAUUCUACCAGUUUUGUGAUUUUUCGUAGCAUUAAUCCAAUUUAAUGGAGGAUACUAGUUUUGGGUUUUUGAUAGUAAAAAAAAAAAAUUAUCAUAAGUAUACAAGUCUAAGGUUUUUUGUGAUCAUUUGGGGUAAAUUUGUCACAGAUGUAUUGAUUUAGAGUUUUUGGUGAUAUUAACCUCUUCUUCUUUUUUUAAAAUUGAAACCUUAUUUAGAAAUUAGGGUUCUCUUUACUUCAAAAUAAAAUAAAAAAUUAAAAAAUGGGCCGAUUCAUUGGUUCCAUUCCUUAUGUGAAAUCGAAAAUCGGAUCGAUUAUUCGCAAUUUCAAAUUUUUGGAGCCAAGAGCAAACUAGUCUUCUAAGAACCAUCUAAAAUUUAUUGGUCCGAUUCGGUUGUAUUCCUAGAUUGGACUGAAUUAAUAAACAUCCCUACUAAUUAUGUGUCGAUUGCCAUAAUUUUCUUACAUUGUAUCAAAUCUGUCAGACCAUGAGAAAAGCCUAAAAGAGUCACCCUUGUCUAAUAAAGAGAAACUUCUGUUCUCGCAAGAGUUCCAUGAUAUUCUUGAGGUGUCUAACUACCCUUGGAUUGUGUCAGUUCUGAUUAUCGCUUAUGCAAUAUCUUCAAAAGAAAAAAAAAAGGAAAAAAUAAAACAAAAACCAUAAAAAAAAAAAAUUCGAUUAUAAAUUACCAGUCCAACCAUUUGCUAUUCCUUCGACCAAAAACAAAAAAUCUACUGCUCCGCUAACUUACAAAGCAAAAGAACAAAAGCUCCGAGAUACAAAAAUGGUUCCAACUCAAUGGGAUGGGACAACGUGGUCAGAUGGAAGUUUGCGAUUGCCUCCCCUCCGUGUAUUCACUCUCAUCCUCUUUUAGUAAGGUGAUCACGAUAUGUUUAAAUACUUUUAAUCAAUAAUCCAUUUUGACAAAUCUAACACAAAGCGGGAUAUCGAAAUAGAAAAAACAAUUAAUAAAAAAUUAAUAAAAAAAUAUUAAAAAUUGCAAUGUCAACAUCCGGCCACCGACUGACGUCUACGUUAGCGUCGGCCAACCAGCCAAAAUUGGCUGGGUAAACUGAAUUGGUACCAAUAUUAAAAGGUUUAGAACUAAAUUAGUCCAAUUGAAAAGUUUAAGAUUUGAUUGGUACAAAUACAAUAGGUUUAGGAUUUUUUUAGUACUUUUCCCAAUUCAAAAUUAUUUAAACAUAUCUGAUCACCUUAAAUGAAAAGCCUAAAAUUUAAAUUAAAUUCAAAGAGUGACUUUAUUUUGCGAGAUUUUCAUUGCCUCGUCUUUAAUGACAAAUGUCUAGGGAUACUUUGGCGCAUGUAAGAACAAUAAUUAAAUUUUUAGCGAGGCCCCAAAGAUGUUAAUCUUGCGAGUGUGUACAUAGAUUUGAAUUUCAGUGAUUUUGUCAAAACCCGGAUUUGCAUGUGUACUGAGGAAGUGGAAAUUAUACACAAUUGCUUUGUGGAUUUUGAACUAUAACAUUUUAUUAACGAGUCGUUGAGCUGCGGAUAUAUAUAAAAAUGAUUUUAGGAUGUCGUGGAGCAUUAAAUUUUACAUAACUCAAUUUAGAUUUACGGUUUGCUCGAUUUUUUUUUUGAAGUUGGCUGCAACUGAUGAACUGUGCUUGAACAGCUGCUUUUGGGCCACAUUUCAACGAUUUUCGGCACAAUUUUGAGUUGGUCAAGAUUCUGGGUCCUCUAGUACUUCGACAGAUAUUCACUUUAUAUGUAAGUUCGUUUGUAAUGGAGUUUGGUGGAGAAAGUUAUAACAUGACCAAAUUUCGCGCUUAAACUCUACAUUGACUUUAAAUAAUCGCUUUGGACAAGCAAUUUGUGGGCGCAUUUGAAUCAUUUUGUCAGCAUUUAAACUUAGCUUAACUGAAUCAUAAUUGAGGUGGCAAUUUUCUCAGUUUUAACAUUAUUUCUCGCUUAUUUAAUAGGAUUACGAGUUCUACAAUCCAAAUAAUCUCCGUCGUUUGAGUGAGUGAUGUUAUCUCUUCCUUAAGUUUGUAAAACUCAUAUUUUGAAGGUGAUAAUAAAUUUCAUAUGGUAUGAGAUACAAAAUGACAUUGUUGUUGCAUAAAAAAGCUGAUCAAGCAUUUACUACCAUAUUUGUUAUUUGAAAUCGUUCAAGACGUAUUUAUAUAAUGAAUUGCAAAAAGGUAUUCUGUUGGAUUAGUUGAGCUGUGAAAUGUCACAUGAUUUGUUUUGUAGAUUGAUUUAUGACAUGAUUAUGGAUUUAGCUUUUAUGGAUUGUGAAGUAUGCUGUUGUGGGUUAGUGCUGAUGCUCAAUAUCUUUAUGAGCCCAUUGAAAGGUUUGUGAAUAUGCAUACUAAUUUAGAAUAUCCUUGUAGGCCAAUCAUCGCUAAUAUAAAUGGAGACCUUGUCGGGGGGAGCUUGGUAGCCAUGUCAUAGGAUACUAUAAGUGAUCAUGAUUGAUAUUUGAGCUCAAGAUUGGUCAUUGGAAUAGACUAUUGACAUGUGCAUUGAUAUUGAUUAGUGGAUUUGAUUAUUGAUAUUUGUUAAAAAUCGAUAUGUAUGUAGUUAUGUUACAACGAUAUUACUCAUUAUAUCUUGUAUAUGUAUUGCACAUAGGAAUUGAGAUUAAUAAAUUUUGAUAUUAUUUUGUAAAGUGCAUAGUGAAUGCUUGAUCUAUUUAAAAGAAAUACGUAUUACUCACUAAGUUGUGGCUGCUUACCCUUUUCUUCUCAAUCUUUUAGGUUUCUUAGUUAGUGGCCAAGGACGCUAUUGCAAGGACUUUUGAAGGUUAGAUUUUAAGUAUGGUUUGAUAUUACGUUCUUUGGAUGGGAGGAUGGCCAUACCUCUUCCCCAUUUUGGUAGGAAUUGGGUGUGACACAAUCCUUUUGGUCUCCUUUGGUAGAGGCAUUGUUGAGCUCUUCAGCGCAAAGCUUGUAAGAUGCACUUCCAAAUUAGCAUUGGCUUUUGCAUGAUAUUCUACUUGUUUUCUCAAAAGUUCCAAAUAUGACCAUUUACUUCCAAAUUCGUCAGAUACCAAAAGAACCCCACAUGAUAGAAAUGAUCAUGAACUGGGGUCACUUCUUCAAAGAUGCCAUUAAUCUCGGGCUCUGCGAUAUAAACAUCAAUGAAUUGCUGAUCCAAUAGUACCUGAAGUCCUAUCUUUUGCCACUCCGCCUUUCAAGUUUGGACUCUAGACUACAACAACUUCCGAUAGGAACGUGAAGUAACAACAAUCCUGAAGGAUCAUCGGGAUAUAUUUCUUAAGCUGGUGUGAUGAAGCAGUCUGUUAUCAAAUCCACGAGGUCUGAAGAUUCCAAACGUUCAUCAAAACAGCCAAAUUUCUCAGGUUGUGUUGUGGCUGCGAAGGGUAAAGCCAUUUGCAAACAGAAAGCAGGUGAUUGCCACUCAAAGAAACUGAUAAUAGAGAAGAAGAAGAAGACGGCUGCGAUUGGAGACAAGCUCCAUACUCUCCGUUCACUUGUACCAAAAGACAUCCAAGGUCCACUGUACUUUUCUCGCUCUACUCUAGAAAAAGUAAUCCAUUUCGCUUGGCGUUCAAAGCUGUUUUCUUCGAUGCGGUCCUUCACUGUGUUGCAAUAUUGAGUGAUUACUCUAGUCAACAACAAUUUCUAUUUGACACAAGCAUAAAUUUAUAUCAAGGAACGCACGCAUUCGAAGAUUGUCAUGUUUUAAGGAACACAUGCAGUAACAAAUUAUUUCAUAGUCAUAUUGCUUGUUAUUUUACUUGAAGACUGUAUAUCCAUCUGAUUCUUCCUUGUAUUGACUAGAUGGUCAUGACUUCAAUCCUUGGGGACGCUGUUGAUUCCAUUGAGGAUUUACAAAUGGAGGUGAGAAACCUCAAGGAGGAACUUGGCAAAAGCUUGGCCAGACAACGCGAUAACCCUCGACUCUUCCCCGUCUUGACCCAAAGACGGACACAGAGGUGAACAAAGUCAAGCUUGUAGCUCAACUGUCAUCUCAUAGUUCCUCAUUAAAUGUGGACUGAGCAUCACUUUGAUAUCGUGCCUUGACUUUGUGGAAUUAAUGAUUUCAGUCGCAUGGGAAGGUGAACCAAAUUGGGAAACGAGAAUUUCUGGUCAAGGUGUCACUGUUGAAAUAGCGAGGAUGGCUUUCUAGAAUGAUGGAGAGGAUGAACUCGCUGGCAAUUUACGGUGGUUGAUGCCCGCACCACCGCGUUAAAUGGUAAAGUCCUGACCAAUCUCGUGCUCGAGGUAAGUCUGUGAGGAUACCGCGGCAAAUGAGAGUAUUUACAGAAUUUCCUUCUUAGAAAAGCUUCUACGAGCAUUGGUCCAUCCUACUUUAAUAUGAGCUUCAUGCUCCAAUUCAGGUAUGUGUAGAACAGAAGGCAUAUUUAUAAUGAAGUUUGCAUAAGAUGCAAAUUCUCUGAAUAAUUUAUAGUUUCAUGAUUCCUGUUUCUGGUCGGUACUAAGACUAUUCUUGUUCUUCCAGCUGAACAUCGGUAUCCCUCCAGAACAUCUGAGAGACUUGCCGAUGCGGCUAGUGAGCUAAAUUAGUCAGUAUGAACAUCCGAGGUUGUCAUCGAGAGGGGGCGAAGAUUAUGCAGAAGUGUCCUUGUGCGGCACAAGGACCAAUGUAUCCGUUAAAUAAGGCCGAUACCAUGAUCAAUGAACUUCAACUAUGCCCAAAUCCCAAUCGAGCCAUGCCCAUCUCGGCUCCCGUAUUUUCGCAGUCGACAUUUUAAAUUCCAAAAUAUGUGUAUGGCCAAGGAGGAUUACAGGUAUCCUUUCCAAAUCGUCAGGUAUGUCAUUCAGUCUGUAGAUUGAAAUCUCAUCAACAUUUGCAGAUUUCUUUUUGCAUAACAGACUCAGAUGUAACUUGAUGAACCUAUAGUAAAAAUCGAGCAACUUAGAAACCUCUCCUUAAAACCGAAAGUUAUAGGUUCAAUAUUGAAAUCAUCUUUAAAUUAGUAUGGUAGGUUUUAAAUCAAGGUUCUAAGUUCUUAUAGUCUUUAAAAUUGGCCUUGCAAUGAACUCAUUCACUACGACCAUCGUUACUCCUCAUCUUAAGCAAGCAGUAUUGUGGAAUGAUUCAAAUUAAAAAGGGAUAAAUGCGGGAUUUGCGAAGAGGAGACAGUCGUCGUUCGUCUUUGUCAUCGACACCGCUCCUGUGGGAUGACUUACACGCAAUGACAAGGGAUUUGAUAUGGAUCUUCAAAUUGCCACUGCGAAACCACGAAAUGAAAAUGGACAAGGGACGACUUGCACGGACUCGCUUUGGCCGGGAAAAUUUGCCCGGACUUGAUUUAGAUUUAGGGCUUAGAAUUUGGGAUUUGGGUAAAAAGAAAAUACUCCGAGCGACACCUCAAGAAAGGAGAAUAAGAAAGAACGAAGAUAUGGGGCAAGAGUUGAACGACGCCGUUUUGGAUGCAUUGAAUAUGGACUUAAUUUUUUUUGCCACAUAAGUGAGAAAUGAAUAAAAUAAGCCACAUCAGCAUUUUCCAUUAACCUAAUUGGACAAAGUUAUUGGAUGGGCUUUCUUGCACUUGAUAGAGCAAAUCUCCCAACAUAUAACAUCUUCCAUAAUCUGCACCAAUCCCAUUGAUAGAGUAACUUUUUCUAUGAUAAUAUAGCAGUCUUAUAUUUCGUAAAAUCUUUUCAAUUGUGAUUUUCCCGCUCAUGUACAUACUAUGAAUAUAAUACAAAACUCCACACUAAUGAGUGUGUGAUCAAACUCAAAUUCGUAAUCUUUUAUGAUAUCAAAACUUCUCAAUUUUUUUCUCUUCUCCAUUAUAAUGUCUUCUUCCCCAACCUCCAACAUUGUUAUUGCCUCCAACACCAUAUCUUCCACCAUCGUUGCUAACUCUCCAUUCUUGUUGGCUCCCUUCCAAUUACCCUUUGCUCUCGACAAUAUAUCGCAUGUUCUUCAAAUCAAGCUAGAUCGCAAUAAUUACCUUAUGUGGUGAGCACAGUUUCUUCAUUUAUUUCAUAUUCACGGGUAUCUUCCGUUUGUGGAUGACUCAUAUCCUUGCCCGGUGCCCACUAUCAUUACUGUUGAUAAUACUGUGAUGGACAACCCAGAUCAUACUGUAUGUCAUUAUCAAGAUCGACUCAUCCUCUACUACAUCUUCUCCACUCUUGCUAAAUAAGUUCUCUCACACAUUGUCGGUUUUGAGACAACUUCACUCGAGAAACUUUAUGCUCCUCAAUCUCAAGCCUGCAUAAUGCAGUUAGAGUAUUAGCUUCGAUCUCUAAAGAAGGGCUCUCUUUGCAUGGAAGCAUUUGUUUAAAAAGCCAAGAACACUACGAAUCAACUUUUUCAACUGCUCAUCCCUUCUCAAAUUUCCAAUUAGUUCUCAGCAUCCUCAGUAGCCUGGGUUCGGAAUAUGAUGCAUUCAUUGCCUUAGUCACAUCUCGUCUUGACCCAUUACCUCUUGAUAACUUCCUGGGCCUUCUUUACAAUCGGGAAGUUAUUUUUCAAAGCCGUACCACUAAAUCUCCAAUAGAGUCGUCUCCAAUUGUGAAUGCGGUAGUCAAAUAAUUUGAGCCCUGAAUACUUCCUUCAAUGGUAAAGGACGUGACUGAGGACGAGGAUGCGGCCGAGGCUGUGGUCACAAUUUUUAUGAUAUAGCUUACUCUCCUUUUCGAAUUAUUUGUCAAGUUUGUGAUCAUGUAGAUCACUCAACUCUCCAAUGCUACCAACGAUUUAAUCUUGGCUCUAAAUCUAUUACUGACUCUCUAUCUACAAUGUAUACCUCUUCAACUGGUGAAUCAUUUAUCCCAUGCUGGCACUCAAACUCUAAUGCCACUCAUCAUCUCACAGCUAACAUGGCAAAUUUGACCAUUCAGAUCGACUAUCCUAACACGGUUCAAAUCUAUACUUCAAAUGGGUUAGGUUUGCAAAUAUCACAUACCAAUUCUUUAAUUCUACAUUCUCCUACCAGUUCUCAAUUUACCAAAGACAACAAUGUGGUAUUUAAAUUUCAUCCUACUUUUUGUUAUGUUAAGGAUCGAUCCUUGAGGAACCUCCUUCUCAAAGGCUAGUAUCAGAAUGGACUCUAUUAUCUUAAUAAUGCAUGUACCACCAAUGAGGUCCCUCUGCAGUCAAAUGAAUCACCUUUAGCUCCAUCUUGCUUCAUUGGUGAAGAAGUGUAUGCUUCUAUUUGGCAUGAGCGCUUCAAUCAUCCAACUGCUCGCAUUCCUUUUUCAAUCAAUUCAAAGCAUGGUCUGUCAAUAUCUCCUUCUUCCUCAUUUAGUUUAUGUGAAUCAUGUCACAUGGGCAAGUUGCAUCAUCUUCCAUUUACUAGAUCAUCAACAAAUCGUAAUACUCCUUUGGAAAUACUUUAUUAUGAUCUAUGAGCACUAUCUCCUGCAAUUUCAGUAAAUGGUUUUUGUUAUUACAUCAUUUUUAUUGAUGCUUAUGGUGGAUACACAUGGUUUUUUCCACUUAAUGUGAAAUCUAAUGCUCUUUCUAUUUUUGUGCAAUUUAAAUGCCAAGUGAAAAAAUAUUUCAAUUGGAAGAUUAAAGCCCUUUAAACCAAUGGAGGUGGUGAGUAUGAGAAAUUUGAUCUUUAUCUCCAUCUUCAUGGCAUCCUACAUACUUUUUCAUGCCCACACACAGGGGAACAAAAUGGUUGAGCUGAGCACAAGCAUUGUCACAUUGUGGAAACUAGUAUCACAUUGCUUAUUUGAGCUUCUAUUCCUCAUCUAUAUUGGACUAAUGCUUUCCUCACUAUGGUCUUUCUGAUUAACCGCAUGCCUACAACGAUGUUGAGUAAAUUGUCUCCUUAUUAGAAAUUAUUUGGCUAGAAACCCAAUUAUUUAUAGUUGUGUGUUUUUGGAUGUGCUUGCUAUCCUUAACUGCAUCCUUACACUCUGAUGAUAGAAUAACGCAAUGUAUCUUCAUUGGCUAUUCUCCUUAUCACCAUUGCUAUUGUUGUCCACAUCGCAUCACAGGCCGAGUAUAUGUCUCUUGCCAUGUGAUUUUCCAUGAGCACUUGUUCCCAUUUGCUAAACUACAAUCUGGUCAAUUGUCAUCACCAUCACCAAGUAUCCAUAUUUACAUUAGUUAUUCCUCUAUUAAGCCCCAGCAGCUUCAAGUGGUGUCCACUACUGCAUCAAUUUCAUUACCUCCAUCUAAUAUCAUGGGCAAUUCCUCAUCACUACUUCAACAAUCCUUUACUUCCACAAUUCCAUGUGGUUCUUCUUCUCCAACAGUCCACCCUUAUAAUCUUCUCAACCUCAACUGCCAACUUCUAGCCAUCUAACGGUCACUUGUGUAAAAAAAGAACAUUCGUAAACUAAAGGUUUUUCUCUCCUCUAAGCACCCCAUGUGUUUUUGUUUUCACUCAAGCUUGACACCAAGUGAACCAACCUGUUUUUCCAUUACAAACAAAGGCCCUAAUUGGUAACAAGCUAUGGCCAAAGAAUCUAAUGCUCUCAUUCAAAAUGGCACUUGGGAACUAAUUCCUCAUCAUCCUUCCAUGAAUGUGGUCAACAACAAGUGGAUUUAUCGACUAAAAACCAAGGCUGAUGACUCCAUUGAUAAAUACAAAGCACAAAUCGUUCCGAAGGGCUUUACUCAACAAGUGGCUUAGACCAUGAUGAAACUUUCAGUCUAGUUAACAAACUAGCAAUGAUUCAAGUUGUUCUUUCCUUAGUUGUUACAUAUAAUUAGUCUCUAUGUCAAUUGAACAUCAUGAAUGCAUUUCUCCACUGAACCAUUAAUGAAGAAGUCUACAUGAAGCAGCCACAAGGAUUUGUUGAUUCACGUUAUCUUGGCCAUGUAUGUCGUCUUUAAAAAGCUCUAUAUGGGCUAAAUCAAGCUCCAAGAAUUUGGUCUUCUCGGCUAAGUUCAUACCUACUUUCUGUCAGGAUUGUGGCCUCCACUUAUGACUCUUCAUUAUUCAUUCAACGUAGUUCUAACCACAUUCUACUUCUUCUCAUCUAUGUUGAUGAUAUUAUUAUUGAGAGUGCUAGUAUGAACAAAAUAAAGGAGUUAGGGAAGAGAAUAAGAACACAAGAUUUAUAGUGGUUCGGCUUAAUCCAAGCCUACGUCCACUCUCCCACGCUAACAGCCUUCUUGGCUGGAUUCCACUAUGCAAUCAACAAGAGAUUACAACUUCGAGUGCAAACACUUAGUAGUAGAUCACACUAUCUCACUAAGUCACUCUUUUGGUAUUUCUCUCACGAUUACAAACGUUUAAGCUCUCAAGAGACAAGUAUAUGAUCAAAAGUCGCUCAGACUUUGGAAUUAUAAAUUCUACGCUCCGUCUCUUACUUGCUCAUCGGUCCAUGAUCUCCUUAAAUACUCCUCCACUUCCAAACUACCCGUUGGACAGUAUCCCGGAGAAUCGUCUUCCAAUAUACCCAUUGGACAGCUCUGUAUCUAGAAGAUUUGGUAGCCGUUGAGUGACAAAGGUAAAAUCCCAAAUUGAUUCCGAUCGCCCAUACAAACGAAAUCUUGGUUUCCAUAAGUAAAGCUUCUUCGUGUAGAAAGUUCUUGUCUUCAACAUCCAAUUGUCAAUCAAUUAGAUUGAAUCAAUCAAAUCAAUCUUGAUGUGGAAUCCAAACCAGAUCACUAGCCGUUAUAUGAUUGGGCUUGAGUUACGAUUCAUUACAUCUGGAUGUAAAGUCUGAGUCUGUAGACUUUACAAUAUGAGUCUGUAGACUUUACAAUCUGGGUCUGUAGACUUUACAAUCUGGGUCUGUAGACUUUAAGGUAUGUACCCAGUUCAGCUUCAGCAUAGAGUCUGUCUUCUGGUUCAGCUUUCACGUUCAGUCUGGAAUUUAUCAGAGUGAGCAGACUUCUGAUGUAGAACAGACUUUGACACUAAAGUCUAGCAGUCUUCAGACUUUGAGUCUUGAGUCUGGCAGUCUUCAGACUUUGACACAGAAGUCUGGAAAUCUUCAGAAUAUAUUUUGGACAUGUGUUACGUUCAGUCUUCUGGUCGUCUUCUGACUUUGAUAAUAUCAUCUACAUGUUCUAACAUUUGCAUGGUCUAUUACUCAACCAUCAAACAUGUUAGUAGCCUUUGAUUUAUUUUGUCAUCUUCAAAACAUCAUAAGGGAUUUCCCUAACAAUUAUUACUGAGAGUUCUAUAUCUCCCAUCACCGAAUUAAUCACUCAACUUGGUACUGAUUUUUCAAUUACUAAUUUAGGAAAUCUAUCUUCCUUUCUUGGCAACGAAGCCCAUAGAUCCUCUAUCAAGUUGUCCCCCUCUCAAUCUAAGUAUGCCACCACUCUUCUCACUUGCACAAGCAUAGCUGAUGCAAAACCUUGCUCAUCGCCUAUGCUCCCUCGACUUCCAAGUUGUUAAAGCAAAGUGGUGAACCAUUGAUUGAUGCCUCCACAUAUCGGAGUACAGUUGGGGCACUACAAUACCUCACUUUUACCAUGCUAGAUCUAUUGUUUGCUGUCAAUAAAGUGUCCCAAUUUAUGCAAUGUCCAACUAUGGACCAUUGGUCAGCCAUCAAAUGGAUUUUGCGCUAUCUCAAAGCUACUAUUCAUCAUGGGAUUACUUUGCGGCCAAAUGCCAACUAACCUUCACUGCAUUUACGGAUGCUAAUUGGGCCAAUUGCCUUGAUGAGGGAAGUCUACUAGUGGCUAUUGCAUUUAUUUUGCUCCCAACUUAGUUUCCUGAGUUCUAAAAAGCAACCUAUCGUUGCUCAGUCCAACAUUGAAUUAGAAUACAAAGGGGCGGCUAAUGCGGCCUCCGAAUUACAAUGGUUAUUACAACUCCUUGAAGAUAUUCGAUACACUCUCCACCGAUCACCACUUGUUCUUUGUGAUAAUGUAGGAGCAAUCUAUCUGGCCGCAAAUCCCAUCUUCCAUGCACGAACCAAACACAUGGAAAUUGACUAUCAUUUUGUUCGUGAUUUAAUCGACAAGAAGCAAUUGGAAGCUCAAUUUAUUCUUACACGGGCACAAAUGGCUGAUGUCAUGACAAAGCCUUUAUCCAAAUCCCAAUUUCUUAUUUUACGUGAGAAGCUCACAGUAACAGUAACUCCGCCACUGUUUCGCUUGAGGGAGUGUGAUAGAGCAAAUCUCCCGAAAUGGAGCAUCUUCCACAAUCUGCAUCAAUCUAGUUGAUAGAGUCAAUUUUCCAUGAUUUGUGAGUAAAUUUUCCAAGAUAGAACAUCUUCCAUAAUUUGCGUAUCAAUUUUCCACGAUUUGUGGGGAAAUUUCCCAAGAUAGAGCAUCUUCCAUAAUUGCGCCAAUCCCGUUAUAAAGUCAAUCUUCCACAAGUUGUGCAAUUCCAUUGAUAGAAUAAAUCUUCUGCCAUAUGUGAUAAUGUUGUAGAUUCUUAUCUUUUGUAAAAUCUUUUCGAUUGUGAUUUUCCCGUUCAUGUACAUAGUAUUAAUAUAAUACAAAUCUUCACACUGAGGAGUGUGUGAUCAAAAUCAAAUACAUAAUCUUUCGGCACUGACUUAAUAAAUUUUAGAAUUUAAUUACAUUUUUUGCAAGUUUAAAUUUUUUUUAAUCAAGUUUAAGAACUUUUGAUACACUCAUCCUUUUCUUAUAAUAAGAAGUCAACGUUGCUAUCAUUGGUUGCAAUCGAAAGGGAUGGUGUAAUCAUUCGGCACCCAUGGACGCAGUCUCAUGCUCAUAUCAAUCUUCUAAAUAUACGAUUUAAUAAUCAGGAUAAGGUCUCACAUACGCUAACAAGGAAAGGAGUGCUACCACGUGUUUGUAAUGAUAAUCGUAUCAUUAUUGGCAUGUUGUAUCAUCAUUAAUAAAAGAUGACAGCGUGCCAUCCCCCCAAGGUCCACGGGAGAGCGACGCAGCACCAUCCACCCCAUCGCAGAACCUCUACAUGCGCAGCAUACCCAAAUUCAACCAUGUCCAACAUUAGAAAAUACCCGACCAAAAAGAAGAAAAACAUUAGAAAAUAACAAAGGUGGAAGGAACACGAACACGGUUUCGUCUGACCGAAUCGAAAGAGGGAUAUACUAAUUAUGCCGGCAGCGAAACGAGCCCACAUGAACCUGCCCCAUGACCGCUGCGAUAUCGACGGCAUGCCCGGCUGCAUUCUGAAGACCAUUUUUCACUGGCGUGCGUGCCUCCUGUUCACAUUGCUGGACAGCAUUGGCUUCUUGCCAACCGCUGCUUUUUUCUUUUUAUUAUUGCGUAUUGCUGUUGAUGACUGUCCGAAGUGGAAAAAAUCAAAUGUGUUGACAUUACCACAUAUGUCAUCCCGGAGUUUUGUGCACGUCCGUUGGUCUAGUGACCGCAUUAGAUUAACCCAACUUGGAGAAGCAUUUGUCAUCGCGCUUGAUUAUUCGAUGGGCAGGGCUUUUCUCUUCUGUUCUUCCUUUUCCAGAUGAUCAAGCAGCCAUGGUUAUGACAUGGCGGGAAAAAAGAAAGCUCAUUUGUCUAAAUUUAUAUGCUCAUGUGACAUGGAGUGUUGAUGAAACAGCUUCAAUCAUUUAUUGAGAAACCAAAAAAAAAAAAAAAAGUGAAAGUGCCUGAUUUCCAAAUGAUUAAAUAUAUUUUCGUAAUUGAAGUGUCGACUACUAGGAAUAUGUUACCGAGAGACUUGUCUAUAUAGUCCCUUUUUAUGUUGUGAUUGGAUGGUAUCUCUAGUUGCAUUUACAUCAAAGUGGAUUCACCUUCCUUGUUUGAACGAAAGCAUGUCAUCUCCGUAACAAUAAUAAAAGAUCUGAGAAAUUGUUGUUUUGUAACCUAAUUCGAGAUAUAUCAUCUAUAACGUGGGAGGCGUAAAUGCUAAUCAAUAUUCUUUUUCUUACAAUUGGAACCGACAGAAAUCAAUUGAUGACUAGCUAGACUCUCAUUAAUCUAGGAGCCGAACGGUCCCAUGCACGCACACUCUUGUGGCAAUGACUAGAACAUUGGGGUCCCUUCCCUUUUAUGUAAACAUCAAAAGAGCGUGAAAGCUUGAGCAAGCACACCCAUUGCUUUGAGCAACCUCUCACGGUUCGGAUCGGCCCUACUUCCGAGGUCCGGCACAACCGGAGCUCUCACAAUACAGUUGCCCCAACUCUUGAAUCCGACCCUAACUUGGGACGAACCCCGCACACCAUCUCGUGUCCACUCCUGAUGGGCCCAAAAACUUUAAAUGUUGCGGCCGUCUCCGGGCACUGGGUCCAACCAUCGCCGGCGGUUCGAGUCCCCGUCCCAUCUUGGAUCCGGCAUUUAAAUCUGGCGAAGCAACCGCCCCAUCUAAAGUGGCCCCGCCCGACCCAUUUGUGCGAACCGACCAAGCAUUGAAUCCCCCCUCCUCUCUCUGAUUUGAAGACUUGUUCAGGAUUUCCCCCAAUCGCAUGACCCCAAAGAUUCGAAAGUGGAUUUCCGUAUUCCUUUAAUAAAAUAGGAGGAGGAGGACUUGACUUUGGGCACUCAAGGGCCCCACGUGGGCCAGAGCACGAGGCCACGUUUUCUUGACCUAGUGAACUUUUCGAACAGCGAAUUUCUUCUCUUUACUUUGGGUUUUUCUUUUGGGGGUGGGGGUUUAGAUUGGGCUCGAACAGCGAGGUGCGGAAACCUUAACUCGUCCGACUCCCGAUGAUCGCGUUCAGCCCCGAGUCAAUUCCUCCCCACUGGAGCUGCCCCCCAUUAGAAUAAUGAGCGCUCGCUCUGGCGGGCAGUUGCCGUGUAGAUUUUGCCAAACGCUCGAUCCCGUUCAGAUCUCGCGGCUCGCCUUCCCUCGCAUUUAUUUCCCAUUAAAUCCCCUCCGCUCCUCCAUUAAAUAUUGUCAUUUCGGGUCACCCCUCUUUUGUGCCCUUUCGAUUUGGGGUUCAUUUGCGACGGCAUCAUUCACAUUCACAAUUCGCUUUUUGUCCCCCCCUCCCCCUCCCCCUCUUUUUUCAAAUAUUAUUCUCUCUUCCUGAGCUCUUUCCUUUUCUUUAUUUUCCCCCCCGGGGGUCCUUUUUCCUUCCUUCCCUUAAUCUCAAGUAACAAUGCCAAUUGGGGUUGUGAUUAGAUGUGGGUCUGACGAUAUCUCAAACCGAAUUGUUGCGUCAGAAGCCCUUAUACUUGUAUUAAAUUCUCUCUAAAAGGGAAUUCUCUCUAAAAGGGAGAAGUAUUGAGAUGAAAUACUUUUGAACACUACCAAAAUACCAAGAGAAGGUAGUUGGAUAAUCUUAUGUAGUGAUAAUAACUUCGCCCCGUUAUUGAUAUCUAAGACUUUUUAUUCCAUAACGACAAUGAUAUUAUUUCACAAUUCUUAAGAUAUAUUACAUAUCUCGUAGAUAUGAUCAGUUCUGUAAUGAAUUUGUUUCUACUCCAAAACUUGAAAUCAGAUAUGGGAAAAGCUUGUUCUUAAUUUAUGGAAUUGAGAACCAGCUCACCAACCUACUUGAUUUGAUUCCAAAAUUGGUCCUAGAACCAUUGCUUUCUUAUUUAUUUUGUUUCUUCUAUUUUGUAGAAGUGUGCAUUUCCCAACAAUAAAAGAAAAAAGUAAUUCACUAAGUAGGUUUGCUUCAAAAUAAAUAUAAUAAAAAAAAUGAAGAGAUCUUGGCCGGUCUAGUCGGAUUGAUUUUUCUUAGUGCCAUAAUUUUUUAAUUAAGAACUAAACUAAUUCCCUUAAAAACACCUAGAAUUGUUUAGAUGGGUUCGAUUUAGUCUCGAAUGGAAUAAGAGCCAAUGCGUACCUAACAUACCCAUCAAAUAAUAAGUAAUUCAUUCAUUGUUGUUAUGGAUUAAGACCCCCUCGAUUGGAUUUACUUCCCCAUACCAUCGUAACUAACCUUCCUUCGUAUGCAUCAUUCAUUUAUCCAUUUUUUAAGAAAAGCUUAUAUAAAUCUCCCUCCCUCUCUCUCUCCCUCUCUCCCUCUCUCUGGAAGCAAAAGCCAUGGAAGCUUGACCUUCCACCCUCUCUCUCUCUCUC